UACGUAGGGUGCGAGCGUUGUCCGGAAUUAUUGGGCGUAAAGAGCUCGUAGGCGGUCUGUCGCGUCGAUCGUGAAAACUUGGGGCUUAACCCUGAGCUUGCGGUCGAUACGGGCAUGACUGGAGUUCGGCAGGGGAGACUGGAAUUCCUGGUGUAGCGGUGAAAUGCGCAGAUAUCGGGAGGAACACCGGUGGCGAAGGCGGGUCUCUGGGCCGAUACUGACGCUGAGGAGCGAAAGCGUGGGGAGCAAACAGG
This 254-nucleotide ribosomal RNA is filed under the name uncultured bacterium. Its description in RNAcentral is "partial 16S ribosomal RNA". It matches the Rfam family "Bacterial small subunit ribosomal RNA", at positions 524 to 776 of the family's 1533-position model. The record is from RNAcentral.